RNAcentral lists this transfer RNA (75 nucleotides) under Brachyhypopomus occidentalis. RNAcentral describes it as "tRNA-Leu". It matches the Rfam family "tRNA". Rfam says of the family: Transfer RNA (tRNA) molecules are approximately 80 nucleotides in length. Their secondary structure includes four short double-helical elements and three loops (D, anti-codon, and T loops). The record is from RNAcentral. Lineage: Eukaryota; Metazoa; Chordata; Actinopteri; Gymnotiformes; Hypopomidae.
AUUAAGAUGGCAGAGCCCGGUAAUUGCAAAAGGCCUAAGCCCUUUCAACCAGGGGUUCAAAUCCCCUUCUUAAUU